RNAcentral lists this ribosomal RNA (270 nucleotides) under uncultured bacterium. RNAcentral describes it as "partial 16S ribosomal RNA". It matches the Rfam family "Bacterial small subunit ribosomal RNA", at positions 28 to 312 of the family's 1533-position model. The record is from RNAcentral.
GAUAAACGCUGGCGGCGUGCCUUAGGCAUGCAAGUCGAACGGUUGAGACCGCAAGGUCAAGACAGUGGCAGACGGGUGAGUAACGCGUAGGAAUCUACCUCUGGGUAAGGCAUAGCUGGCCGAAAGGUCAGGUAAUACCUUAUAGUCUCGAAAGAGUAAAGGACUUAACGGUCCGCCGAGAGAGGAGCCUGCGUCCUAUCAGCUAGUUGGUGAGGUAAAGGCUCACCAAGGCGAUGACGGGUAGCUGGACUGAGAGGUCGAUCAGCCACA